Molecule: ribosomal RNA, 468 nt
Filed under: uncultured bacterium
Lineage: Bacteria
Description: partial 16S ribosomal RNA
Rfam family: Bacterial small subunit ribosomal RNA
Source: RNAcentral
GACGAACGCUGGCGGCGUGCUUAACACAUGCAAGUCGAACGGAAAGGCCCUGCUUUUGUGGGGUGCUCGAGUGGCGAACGGGUGAGUAACACGUGAGUAACCUGCCCUUGACUUUGGGAUAACUUCAGGAAACUGGGGCUGAUACCGGAUAGGAGCUCCUGCUGCAUGGUGGGGGUUGGAAAGUUUCGGCGGUUGGGGAUGGACUCGCGGCUUAUCAGCUUGUUGGUGGGGUAGUGGCUUACCAAGGCUUUGACGGGUAGCCGGCCUGAGAGGGUGACCGGCCACAUUGGGACUGAGAUACGGCCCAGACUCGUACGGGAGGCAGCAGUGGGGAAUAUUGCACAAUGGGCGGAAGCCUGAGGCAGCAACGCCGCGUGCGGGAUGACGGCCUUCGGGUUGUGAACCGCUUUCGCCUGUGACGAAGCGUGAGUGACGGUAAUGGGUAAAGAAGCACCGGCUAACUACGUG